This is a long non-coding RNA of Pecten maximus, 586 nucleotides long. RefSeq lists it as uncharacterized. The record is from RefSeq and is a predicted model, not a curated record. Lineage: Eukaryota; Metazoa; Mollusca; Bivalvia; Pectinida; Pectinidae. The transcript has 2 exons.
CUGUGUGCCUAUUUUGAAGGACUGUGUGUCCGAACGGCUGUGUGCCUAUUUUUCCAAGGACUGUGUGUCCAUAAAAGUCUGUGGUAAAGCCUGUGUCCAGGGUUUUCCGGAUGAAGUAACUUGGGGAGUUGAUGUAACCUCUAUAUACGACCUUGAAGAGUCUAUAUACGACCUUGAAGAGUCUAUAUACGACCUUGAGGAGUCUAUGUAUGACCUUGAUGAACCUGUGUAUAACCUGAAGAUACCUAGGCCUCAGAGGAACCUAUAUAAUGACCUUGAGGAGCCUAUUUAACCUUGUGAAACCUAUGCGACCUUGAGUCAACCUUGUUGGGACAUCCCAUCGGAUACGUUGGGAAGACCAGUGAAAUCAGACCAGUGAUGAAAUUGUACCUGUUAAAGACAUUCGCGCGUGUUACAUUUAAAAUUACUUGCAAUUUGACUCUAGGCUAAUUCUGUAAUUUAAAGUACAUAACGUAGGUGUAAGUAUCUUUGAGUGUGUGUGAGAGAAACCUGCAAGAUUAACGAUUAUGCAUUUCAUGUUUGUUUUGUUGUGUUUAGUUUGUAAAUAAAUGUACAUAAUUUGUUA